GACCUAUUAGCUCAGUUGGUUAGAGUGUUGUGCUAAUAACGCAAAAGUCACAAGUUCAAAUCCGUAUGACUUAUAUAAUUCA
Molecule: transfer RNA, 82 nt
Filed under: Glycine max (soybean)
Lineage: Eukaryota; Viridiplantae; Streptophyta; Magnoliopsida; Fabales; Fabaceae
Also listed under: 1 other name
Description: tRNA-Ile
Rfam family: tRNA (bases 1-73)
About the family: Transfer RNA (tRNA) molecules are approximately 80 nucleotides in length.
Source: RNAcentral